UACGAAGGGGGCUAGCGUUGCUCGGAAUUACUGGGCGUAAAGGGCGCGUAGGCGGAUGUUUAAGUCGGGGGUGAAAGCCCGGGGCUCAACCCCGGAAUUGCCUUCGAUACUGGACAUCUUGAGUACGGGAGAGGUGAGUGGAACUCCGAGUGUAGAGGUGAAAUUCGUAGAUAUUCGGAAAGAACACCAGUGGCGAAGGCGACUCACUGGCCCGUUACUGACGCUGAGGCGCGAAAGCGGUGGGGAGCAAACAGGG
This 256-nucleotide ribosomal RNA is filed under the name uncultured bacterium. Its description in RNAcentral is "partial 16S ribosomal RNA". It matches the Rfam family "Bacterial small subunit ribosomal RNA", at positions 524 to 777 of the family's 1533-position model. The record is from RNAcentral.